This is a long non-coding RNA of Sinocyclocheilus grahami, 831 nucleotides long. RefSeq lists it as uncharacterized. The transcript is spliced from 3 exons. The record is from RefSeq and is a predicted model, not a curated record. Lineage: Eukaryota; Metazoa; Chordata; Actinopteri; Cypriniformes; Cyprinidae.
GUCUGGCCACCACCAAACGCCCAUUUUCACAAUGUGGAGAAGUGCAUGCUGGGAAAGGACUUUCAUGCACUUGUGCAGCUGUUGCACACUAAAGGAUCAGGGAUGCAGAUUGAGGCCUUAUCCAGGGGAAUUAACAACCUCACAUACUUACUCAGCCGAGACGAGCUGCUGAGAGGAAUGAGACGCAGCCAGACCGCCAUAGUGUGAUCCACCGUCCCUCCGAGAGCGUACCUCAACCUAACCCACCUCACCCUCAAAGCUUCAGGACCUGAACUGUGUAACACAAUCCUACCUAAUCCAGCUCAAGAACACAGCUCUACUAUUCCUGUUAUUGUAUUACUAAUUAUUUUUGAUGUGUUUUGAGGUUAUGGUGUACUGUUUGGCAAUCAGAUCUGUGUUCGAGAGAGCGAAGAAAAAAAAAAAAAAGAUUUUGUGUAAUAUGUGGACAGCACUUUUCAAACCUACAAAAGCCUUUCUGUCAAUAGUUGAAAUCAUCUACCUCAACCAUUGUGUUUUUCUUAAAAUAUUGCAUUCAUGUAGCCAAUGGAACUGGAUGUGAGUAGCCUAAAUCCUUUGUUUGCCCAACACUUUGUCAUUUUCUUAGGCUGUUUUACUUAAUCUUUUUUUAAACUAUGUAAUAUGUUAAAAGCAGUUUGUUUUUUGAGAAGGUAUGGUUGUUUGCUUGAUAUACCUCUGUUAAAUCCACUCCAAGAGUUAAAAAGGGUUUGUUGUGGUGCUAGGUGGCUUUAUGCUGUGUAUGACGACUUGCCCAACUGACAAACACAGUGACAAACUUUGGGAAGCCCUUAUAUGAGGGCUGAGCUUUAAAUG